This 244-nucleotide ribosomal RNA is filed under the name uncultured bacterium. Its description in RNAcentral is "partial 16S ribosomal RNA". It matches the Rfam family "Bacterial small subunit ribosomal RNA", at positions 796 to 1041 of the family's 1533-position model. The record is from RNAcentral.
CACACUGUAAACGAUGUGCACUAGGUGCUGGUACGGAUGUAUCAGUGCCGUAGCUAACGUGAUAAGUGCACCGCCUGGGGAGUAUGCUCGCAAGGGUGAAACUCAAAGGAAUUGACGGGGGCCCGCACAAGCGGUGGAGCAUGUGGUUUAAUUCGAUGGUACGCGAGGAACCUUACCUGGGUUUGACAUACAGCGUAAUAGGGCAGAGAUGCUCUAGCGUAGCAAUACGGCGCUGUACAGGUGC